This 590-nucleotide ribosomal RNA is filed under the name uncultured bacterium. RNAcentral describes it as "bacterial SSU rRNA". It matches the Rfam family "Bacterial small subunit ribosomal RNA", at positions 337 to 917 of the family's 1533-position model. The record is from RNAcentral.
UCCUACGGGAGGCAGCAGUAGGGAAUCUUCCGCAAUGGACGAAAGUCUGACGGAGCAACGCCGCUUGAGUGAUGAAGGCUUUCGGGUCGUAAAACUCUGUUGUUAGGGAAGAACAAGUGCUAGUUGAAUAAGCUGGCACCUUGACGGUACCUAACCGGAAAGCCACGGCUAACUACGUGCCAGCAGCCGCGGUAAUACGUAGGUGGCAAGCGUUAUCCGGAAUUAUUGGGCGUAAAGCGCGCGCAGGUGGUUUCUUAAGUCUGAUGUGAAAGCCCACGGCUCAACCGUGGAGGGUCAUUGGAAACUGGGAGACUUGAGUGCAGAAGAGGAAAGUGGAAUUCCAUGUGUAGCGGUGAAAUGCGUAGAGAUAUGGAGGAACACCAGUGGCGAAGGCGACUUUCUGGUCUGUAACUGACACUGAGGCGCGAAAGCGUGGGGAGCAAACAGGAUUAGAUACCCUGGUAGUCCACGCCGUAAACGAUGAGUGCUAAGUGUUAGAGGGUUUCCGCCCUUUAGUGCUGAAGUUAACGCAUUAAGCACUCCGCCUGGGGAGUACGGCCGCAAGGCUGAAACUCAAAGGAAUUGACGGA